Ziziphus jujuba (common jujube) is the source of this 678-nucleotide long non-coding RNA. RefSeq lists it as uncharacterized. The transcript is spliced from 2 exons. NCBI's taxonomy places the organism in Eukaryota, Viridiplantae, Streptophyta, Magnoliopsida, Rosales, Rhamnaceae. The record is from RefSeq and is a predicted model, not a curated record.
UUUUGAAGGGUUUACUUUAUGGGUGCUGAGAAACUUCAAAGACGGUACUUUUUAUGAUUUUCUCAGACGGAGAAAGGCGUUGUAGACUUACUGUAUGGAUGAUGAUGACGAUGAACAGAGAUGAAUGAAAAUAAUUAAAGGAAGCCAAAUAUACGUAUAAAAAACUUCAAUGGAGCUGACAGAGAGCAGAGAAAGACAACGAAGAAACCAGCGGCUAGAAGAUGGUAAUCAGUAAAAAUAAAGAAGCAAGGUCUCACUUGGCUUGUUACUGUAUGUACAAAAUUCUGAGAUACGUCCACUUUGAUAUUAAUGCAGCCUAUACACUGCCAAAUGCUUAGACAAGAAGAGGCACAAGGGAGUGGAGGCUCUCUGCUACCCCAUUAUGAUCUAUCUAAUUCUACCUCUUCACAUUCAUUAGGGUCUUUCCUGCAGAAAGAAGACAAGUACUUUUAGGGGGGCUGUACUGUUUCAAUCUUUAUGGCCAUAAGGUGGGGAAUUGAUGAGGGUGGUUUGGUCAUUUGACAGGCAAAAAAGCCAAGUGAAUAGUCAUUUUGGGGCCAUGGAAAGAUAUGAAGUCUAGAUUCUGGUGUAAGCUGCUUGGGGAUCAUUGUCAUUUCAUUUUGGCUGAAUAUAAGUGGUUAUAAAUCAUAAUAUAUUGUCUUUCGACUAUUCUAUUCA